UACGAAGGGGGCUAGCGUUGCUCGGAAUUACUGGGCGUAAAGCGUGCGCAGGCGGUUGUGUAAGACAGAUGUGAAAUCCCCGGGCUCAACCUGGGAACUGCAUUUGUGACUGCACGGCUCGAGUGCGGCAGAGGGGGAUGGAAUUCCGCGUGUAGCAGUGAAAUGCGUAGAUAUGCGGAGGAACACCGAUGGCGAAGGCAAUCCCCUGGGCCUGCACUGACGCUCAUGCACGAAAGCGUGGGGAGCAAACAGG
This 253-nucleotide ribosomal RNA is filed under the name uncultured bacterium. Its description in RNAcentral is "partial 16S ribosomal RNA". It matches the Rfam family "Bacterial small subunit ribosomal RNA", at positions 524 to 776 of the family's 1533-position model. The record is from RNAcentral.